AAUUGGAGGGCAAGUCUGGUGCCAGCAGCCGCGGUAAUUCCAGCUCCAAUAGCGUAUAUUAAAGUUGUUGCAGUUAAAAAGCUCGUAGUUGAAUUUCGGGAUCAAUAUUUCGGUCAUGCCGUUGGUAUGCACUGUUAUCAUUGAUUUCUCACCUUCUAAAGAACCGUAAUGCCAUUAAUUUGGUGUUACGGGGAAUUAGGACUGUUACCUUGAAAAAAUUAGAGUGUUUAAAGCAGGCUCACGCUUGAAUACAUUAGCACGGAAUAAUGAAAUAGGACAUCCGAUUCUAUUUUGUUGGUUUCUAGGAUCGAUGUAAUGAUUAAUAGGGAUAGUUGGGGGCAUUAGUAUUCAAUUGUCAGAGGUGAAAUUCUUGGAUUUAUUGAAGACUAACUACUGCGAAAGCAUUUGCCAAGGAUGUUUUCAUUAAUCAAGAACGAAAGUUAGGGGAUCGAAGACGAUCAGAUACCGUCGUAGUCUUAACCAUAAACUAUGCCGACUAGGGAUCGGAUGAUGUUAAUUUUUUAAUGACUCAUUCGGCGCCUUACGGGAAACCAAAGUGU
Molecule: ribosomal RNA, 560 nt
Filed under: uncultured Glomus
Lineage: Eukaryota; Fungi; Glomeromycota; Glomeromycetes; Glomerales; Glomeraceae
Description: SSU rRNA
Rfam family: Eukaryotic small subunit ribosomal RNA
Source: RNAcentral